This 368-nucleotide transfer-messenger RNA is filed under the name human gut metagenome. It matches the Rfam family "transfer-messenger RNA". Rfam says of the family: Bacterial tmRNA, also known as 10Sa RNA or SsrA, is named for its dual tRNA and mRNA-like properties. Its role is to liberate the mRNA from a stalled ribosome. The record is from RNAcentral.
GGGUAGCAUGGUAUCGACAGAAUAUAUGUAGAUAUGAUUGCAAGUGGUAGGCAUACCUAAAAUGUAUUUUUAAAAAUAAAUGACGAAACUAAUUAUGGUUUCGCUUCUUUUGCUCCAGUAGCAGCUUAAUAAGUUAAGUAUAAGAAGCACUUCUAUUUAAUCAUUCUUACGGAUUAUUUUAGAGGUUUAUAUUAGUAAGAUAUGUUAAUUUAAUUGUUUAGGUUAAAUUAAUGAAUAAUUACUAAACUAUGCUAUUAAACUUGGUGCGUUAGAUCCGAUUUAUUAGCUAAAUUUAAUUCUAACUAAACUUGUAGUAAUUGUAUUUUACAGUAUUUUGGACAGGAGUUCGAUUCUCCUCUACUCCACCA